Molecule: long non-coding RNA, 909 nt
Organism: Felis catus (domestic cat)
Lineage: Eukaryota; Metazoa; Chordata; Mammalia; Carnivora; Felidae
Exons: 3
Source: RefSeq, a predicted model, not a curated record
ACCACAGGACAGAUAACCAAGGAAGUCAGAAGCCAGCACAGCCUUGUUCAUUAAAAGGAGUGGUAAUGAUUCCGAGUGUCUGAAAAUCAACAGAAGUUCGGGAUAAAAAUGACUGCCUGGGCCCUUCAUGGCUCCAAAUAGGAAACUGAACCUGCUUAAGAUUCAAUUUGGAAAAGAAAAAAAAAAAAGAUUCAAUUCACUCCACCCCAGUGAAGACAAUGGUUUUUGCAAAGCUGAAGGAAAUUCAAGGUAAGACUGUGAGAUGUCAUUGGUACUAAAGCCAGAACUGAACACAUCAACUAAGAAUUGCUUUUCCUGUUUUAAAUCUUAUGAAUCAGUAAUAAUGACCAUCGGGGAGCGCAGCAUGUAUGUGGAAUUCUGCUGGAGAAAGUCGGGAUGGUGUGGCCCUUCCUUGUCAUCCACAGCUUUGUCUGCUGAAGUCCUCUGUUGAAAUUGUUCGCCAGUGAUCAGGAGCUGAGACGUGAUGUUGGUGAAAACCCUGGGAAGCCCCGUCUUCAUCUCGCACAAAGAGGGAAGUAACAGCCCAGAUGGAAUUCAGCCCAGACUAUGCUGCUGAACUGCUGUUUGCAGAGCUGUUAAAACAGAAUCAUCCAUAUUUGGAGACACGUUCUGAUGUUGUACUCAUGUGUUCUGACGUUAAAUCCCUACAGAGGCCCUAUGACAAAUCUAAAGCCCUGUAGGCCAGGGAUAUUCUCACGUUAAUUAUCCCAGGAAGAAGUGCAUUCUACAGGAGGGAAUGGAAACUGAUAAUUCAGGGUCAGAUUGGCUUGGGAUGUGAACCCAUCUAGAGGAAGACUCAGCGGGGAAGUGGAUGGAGUCUGGCUCCGUUGUGUGGGUUUUCUGCUGGUAGGAUGGGAUGCUAACGUCAGGAGACCAGCUCAAGGGUAC